This 484-nucleotide ribosomal RNA is filed under the name uncultured bacterium. RNAcentral's name for it is "partial 16S ribosomal RNA". It matches the Rfam family "Bacterial small subunit ribosomal RNA", at positions 29 to 507 of the family's 1533-position model. The record is from RNAcentral.
AUUGAACGCUGGCGGCAUGCUUUACACAUGCAAGUCGAACGGCAGCGCGGGCUUCGGCCUGGCGGCGAGUGGCGAACGGGUGAGUAAUACAUCGGAACGUGCCCAGUAGUGGGGGAUAGCUCGGCGAAAGCCGGAUUAAUACCGCAUACGACCUGAGGGUGAAAGCGGGGGAUCUUCGGACCUCGCGCUAUUGGAGCGGCCGAGGGCAGAUUAGCUAGUUGGUGGGGUAAAGGCCUACCAAGGCGACGAUCUGUAGCUGGUCUGAGAGGACGACCAGCCACACUGGGACUGAGACACGGCCCAGACUCCUACGGGAGGCAGCAGUGGGGAAUGUUGGACAAUGGGCGAAAGCCUGAUCCAGCAAUGCCGCGUGUGUGAUGAAGGCCUUCGGGUUGUAAAGCACUUUUGGCGGGAACGAAAAGGACUGUGCCAAUACCACGGUGCGAUGACGGUACCCGCAGAAUAAGCACCGGCUAACUACGUG